RNAcentral lists this ribosomal RNA (465 nucleotides) under Veillonella parvula. RNAcentral's name for it is "bacterial SSU rRNA". It matches the Rfam family "Bacterial small subunit ribosomal RNA", at positions 28 to 477 of the family's 1533-position model. The record is from RNAcentral. Lineage: Bacteria; Bacillati; Bacillota; Negativicutes; Veillonellales; Veillonellaceae.
GACGAACGCUGGCGGCGUGCUUAACACAUGCAAGUCGAACGAAGAGCGAUGGAAGCUUGCUUCUAUCAAUCUUAGUGGCGAACGGGUGAGUAACGCGUAAUCAACCUGCCCUUCAGAGGGGGACAACAGUUGGAAACGACUGCUAAUACCGCAUACGAUCUAACCUCGGCAUCGAGGAAAGAUGAAAGGUGGCCUCUAUGUAUAAGCUAUCACUGAAGGAGGGGAUUGCGUCUGAUUAGCUAGUUGGAGGGGUAACGGCCCACCAAGGCGAUGAUCAGUAGCCGGUCUGAGAGGAUGAACGGCCACAUUGGGACUGAGACACGGCCCAGACUCCUACGGGAGGCAGCAGUGGGGAAUCUUCCGCAAUGGACGAAAGUCUGACGGAGCAACGCCGCGUGAGUGAUGACGGCCUUCGGGUUGUAAAGCUCUGUUAAUCGGGACGAAAGGCCUUCUUGCGAACAUUUC